This is a long non-coding RNA of Puntigrus tetrazona (Sumatra barb), 726 nucleotides long. RefSeq lists it as uncharacterized. The record is from RefSeq and is a predicted model, not a curated record. NCBI's taxonomy places the organism in Eukaryota, Metazoa, Chordata, Actinopteri, Cypriniformes, Cyprinidae. The transcript is spliced from 3 exons.
UGUUGAUUAGCCAUCGCUGUGGGGCAGCUAAUUCUGACGCCCGACCACACGCCACAGCCAGCACUGAAGAGGCAGCAGCCGGAAAAAGACACGAGAGAGGGAGGACAAGAUGAAUGCAGGACGGCUACCAACCAUUGUAUGGUAAACAGAUUCAGCGUUUAUGAGAACGUAAAGAAGCUCCCCAGAGACGCGCACACUCACGUAUGUGUGAAGACUUGAGCGCGGUGUGAGAGAGGAGCUUCGCCUUGGAGACCAAUUUACAGCAGAAUGACUGACACACGGCAAUCGGAGCUGAAAAGAGUGGUGGAGCAUUUGGUCUGCACCUUGAAGGCCCUUGAUUCAUGACAACAUUCCUGAGUGAAGCAAAGCAUUAAGCUACAAGAUAACCCUUGGACUUGAAGUUUAGCACUUUUUUUGCUUUAUUUUCUCCCCCCACGAAAAAAUUGUUUGUUGUUGACGCUUUAAUACAUAAAGCACCUACGAUUAUGCAUAAUAUGCCGUCAUCAGGGUCAGGUAUUAAAAAGGUUUUAAGUCAAGAAUGGCACAUUUGCUAAGAAUAAGCCAUGGGUAUUUAAAACGUGGAUCAAAAAAAGUUAAUUGUGUUUAUCUGUGAUCCAUACACAUCAAUGUAUGGUUAUAAAUAUAUAUAAUAUAUUAUAAUAUUAUAUAUUUAAAUUAUGAAUUAGUUAAUUAAAGACUAACUGACAACAAACUGUUUUAUUUUGU